GACGAACGCUGGCGGCGUGCUUAACACAUGCAAGUUGAGCGGUAAGGCCCUUUCGGGGGUACGACGAGCGGCGAACGGGUGAGUAACACGUGGGUGACCUGCCUUUAGCUCUGGGAUAAGCCUGGGAAACCGGGUCUAAUACCGGAUAUGACUCCGCGGCGCAUGUUGUGGGGUGGAAAGCCUUGUGCGGCUGGAGAUGGGCCCGCGGCCUAUCAGCUUGUUGGUGGGGUGAUGGCCUACCAAGGCGACGACGGGUAGCCGGCCUGAGAGGGCGACCGGCCACACUGGGACUGAGACACGGCCCAGACUCCUACGGGAGGCAGCAGUGGGGAAUCUUGCGCAAUGGGCGAAAGCCUGACGGAGCGACGCCGCGUGUGGGAAGAAGGCCUUCGGUCGUAACC
This 401-nucleotide ribosomal RNA is filed under the name uncultured bacterium. RNAcentral's name for it is "bacterial SSU rRNA". It matches the Rfam family "Bacterial small subunit ribosomal RNA", at positions 28 to 430 of the family's 1533-position model. The record is from RNAcentral.